CCUACGGGUGGCAGCAGUGGGGAAUAUUGCGCAAUGGGCGAAAGCCUGACGCAGCGACGCCGCGUGAGGGAUGAAGGUCUUCGGAUCGUAAACCUCUGUCAGCAGGGAAGAACGGUCACUGUGCUAAUCAGCAGUGAAUUGCCGGUACCUUCACAGGAAGCACCGGCUAACUCCGUGCCAGCAGCCGCGGUAAUACGGAGGGUGCGAGCGUUAAUCGGAGUUACUGGGCGUAAAGCGCUCGUAGGCGGUAUGUCAAGUCAAGGGUGAAAUCCCCGCGCUCAACGUGGGAACUGCCUUUGAAACUGGCAGACUGGAGUGUGUGAGAGGAUAGUGGAAUUCCAGGUGUAGGAGUGAAAUCCGUAGAUAUCUGGAGGAACAUCAGUGGCGAAGGCGACUAUCUGGCACAUAACUGACGCUGAGGAGCGAAAGCGUGGGUAGCAAACAGGAUUAGAUACCCUAGUAGUC
Molecule: ribosomal RNA, 465 nt
Filed under: uncultured bacterium
Lineage: Bacteria
Description: partial 16S ribosomal RNA
Rfam family: Bacterial small subunit ribosomal RNA
Source: RNAcentral